GCUCAAGCUUAAAAUCUCCGUGCAAUUUUUGCGCGGCGAAUUGUAGUCUAUAGAAGCGUGGUCAGUAUGGGCACUUGGGUUAAGUUCCUUGGAAGAGGACAGCAUGGAGGGUGAUACUCCCGUUCGUCCCCAAGUUGCUUGUGCGUACGACCCGUUUUCUUUGAGUCGCGUUGUUUGAGAAUGCAGCGCAAAGUAGGUGGUAAAUUCCAUCUAAAGCUAAAUAUUGGUGCGAGACCGAUAGCAUACAAGUACCGUGAGGGAAAGAUGAAAAGAACUUUGAAAAUAGAGUUAAAGAGUACCUGAAACUGCUGAAAGGUAACCAAAUCGUUUCCAGUGUCUAUAAUCCGUGGUAUAUUUCAUUGGCGAGUGUAUGCGUGCGUGUGCUGUUGCAGUGGCCUUUUUGGCUGCGCUCGGCGUGUGUGUUGUGUGUGCUUGCUGGUGCCCUGUGCUGUGGUGGGACGUCAAGGUCAGUUCGUAUGCUGCGGGAAAUGGCCACUGAGGAGGUAGGGCUUACGCUUGCGUUUGUCUGUUAUAUCUUGGUGGACGAGUAGUCGCGGUUGGGACUGAGGUGCCUACAACGUGCUUUUGAGUGGAUUUGGGUCUCCGUGUGCGCCGUGUGCGGAUAGCUUGCUAUGCGUGUGUGGCUGUGUAUGGAUUGAUGCGAGUCGUAACUUGUAGCCGUCGGG
RNAcentral lists this ribosomal RNA (686 nucleotides) under Plasmopara viticola. RNAcentral's name for it is "eukaryotic LSU rRNA". It matches the Rfam family "Eukaryotic large subunit ribosomal RNA", at positions 107 to 630 of the family's 3401-position model. Lineage: Eukaryota; Oomycota; Peronosporomycetes; Peronosporales; Peronosporaceae. The record is from RNAcentral.